AAUAAGUGCAGUUUUACACUAUUCACGUUCAACGUUUGACCGUUCGUCUUAUUUAAAAAUUUUUUAUGAUUAGUAUUUUUAUUGCUAUUAGAUGAUAAAACAUGAAUAGUAUUUUAUGUGUGACUAAAUAUUUUUAAUUUUUUCACAAAUUUUUCAAAUAAAACGGACGGUCAAACGUUGGGCACGGAUAUCCACGGCUGCACUUAUU
Molecule: microRNA precursor, 208 nt
Filed under: Oryza glumipatula
Lineage: Eukaryota; Viridiplantae; Streptophyta; Magnoliopsida; Poales; Poaceae
Description: MIR812 microRNA precursor family
Rfam family: MIR812 microRNA precursor family
Source: Rfam by way of RNAcentral